ACGGGAGGCAGCAGUGAGGAAUAUUGGUCAAUGGAGGCAACUCUGAACCAGCCAUCUCGCGUGAAGGAAUACGGCCCUACGGGUCUUAAACUUCUUUUAUAGGGGGAUAAAGUGAGAUACGCGUAUCUUUUUGUAGGUACCCUAUGAAUAAGCAUCGGCUAACUCCGUGCCAGCAGCCGCGGUAAUACGGAGGAUGCGAGCGUUAUCCGGAUUUAUUGGGUUUAAAGGGUGCGCAGGCGGGCUGGUAAGUCAGCGGUGAAAUGUCGGGGCUCAACCCCGGCAGUGCCGUUGAUACUGUCGGUCUUGAGUGCGGUGAAGGCAGGCGGAAUGCAGUGUGUAGCGGUGAAAUGCGUAGAUAUGCUGCAGAACUCCGAUAGCGAAGGCAGCUUGCCGUACCUGCACUGACGCUCAUGCACGAAAGCGUGGGGAUCAAACAGGAUUAGAUACCCUGGUA
RNAcentral lists this ribosomal RNA (454 nucleotides) under uncultured Parabacteroides sp. RNAcentral describes it as "partial 16S ribosomal RNA". It matches the Rfam family "Bacterial small subunit ribosomal RNA", at positions 341 to 792 of the family's 1533-position model. Lineage: Bacteria; Pseudomonadati; Bacteroidota; Bacteroidia; Bacteroidales; Tannerellaceae. The record is from RNAcentral.